UAAGAUAAAUUGUGAUGAAUUAAUGUUCUUAUAUGCACUGAAGCAAACGUUCUGGGAGUUUAGUUGGCUGAACCUUGAAAUUAGCAGCUGGACCAAGUGCCAUCGAAACAAGCCGUCAAACAACUUGAAAUUCGAUACCACACAAGCAGGUUUGCUUGGCAAGACUAUAGAAAGCUAAAAAUAAAUUGGUUAUUCAUUAA
Molecule: long non-coding RNA, 200 nt
Organism: Hermetia illucens (black soldier fly)
Lineage: Eukaryota; Metazoa; Arthropoda; Insecta; Diptera; Stratiomyidae
Exons: 2
Source: RefSeq, a predicted model, not a curated record